AUUGAACGCUGGCGGCAUGCUUUACACAUGCAAGUCGAACGGUAACAGGCCUUCGGGUGCUGACGAGUGGCGAACGGGUGAGUAAUGCAUCGGAACGUACCCAGAGGUGGGGGAUAACGCAGCGAAAGCUGUGCUAAUACCGCAUGUGAUCUGAGGAUGAAAGCGGGGGACCGAGCAGCAAUGUUUGGCCUCGCGCCUUUGGAGCGGCCGAUGUCGGAUUAGCUAGUUGGUGGGGUAAAGGCCUACCAAGGCGACGAUCCGUAGCUGGUCUGAGAGGACGACCAGCCACACUGGGACUGAGACACGGACCAGACUCCUACGGGAGGCAGCAGUGGGGAAUUUUGGACAAUGGGCGCAAGCCUGAUCCAGCAAUGCCGCGUGCGGGAAGAAGGCCUUCGGGUUGUAAACCGCUUUUGGCAGGAACGAAACGGUGUCCGCUAAUACCGGGCGCUAAUGACGGUACCUGCAGAAUAAGCACCGGCUAACUACGUG
This 492-nucleotide ribosomal RNA is filed under the name uncultured bacterium. RNAcentral describes it as "partial 16S ribosomal RNA". It matches the Rfam family "Bacterial small subunit ribosomal RNA", at positions 29 to 507 of the family's 1533-position model. The record is from RNAcentral.